UACUUAAAACUGUGGGAGGGGAAAGAAAAGGGGGUUAGAGAGUAGCAAAAAGACACAAAGAUUAUCUAUAUACUGUAAAGAAGACCAAGUGCACCUGUUUUUUUUGAGGAAAAUUCAAGAACCCCAUUUCAUAUUAAUGGAACAAGAUAUGAUCUUUGGAUUCAAAUUGGAAUUUUGUUAAGAAAAAAUCAUUGAAUUCUUGAAUAAAAAUCUCAUCUUUUUUUUAAGAGUUACUGUAGAUAUUCAAGAAGAAGAAGAUUGUUUCUUUAGUCAAAUCUGG
RNAcentral lists this unclassified non-coding RNA (280 nucleotides) under Hevea brasiliensis (rubber tree). Lineage: Eukaryota; Viridiplantae; Streptophyta; Magnoliopsida; Malpighiales; Euphorbiaceae. The record is from RNAcentral.